RNAcentral lists this ribosomal RNA (1364 nucleotides) under metagenome. RNAcentral describes it as "bacterial SSU rRNA". It matches the Rfam family "Bacterial small subunit ribosomal RNA". The record is from RNAcentral.
AGAGUUUGAUCCUGGCUCAGGACGAACACUGGCGGCGCGCCUAACACAUGCAAGUCGAACGAGAGAGAGGGAGCUUGCUUCCUCAAUCGAGUGGCGAACGGGUGAGUAACGCGUGAGGAACCUGCCUCAAAGAGGGGGACAACAGUUGGAAACGACUGCUAAUACCGCAUAAGCCCACAGGUCGGCAUCGACCAGAGGGAAAAGGAGCAAUCCGCUUUGAGAUGGCCUCGCGUCCGAUUAGCUAGUUGGCGAGGUAACGGCCCACCAAGGCAACGAUCGGUAGCCGGACUGAGAGGUUGAACGGCCACAUUGGGACUGAGACACGGCCCAGACUCCUACGGGAGGCAGCAGUGGGGAAUAUUGCACAAUGGGGGAAACCCUGAUGCAGCGACGCCGCGUGGAGGAAGAAGGUCUUCGGAUUGUAACUCCUGUUGUUGAGGAAGACAAUGACGGUACUCAACAAGGAAGUGACGGCUAACUACGUGCCAGCAGCCGCGGUAAAACGUAGGUCACAAGCGUUGUCCGGAAUUACUGGGUGUAAAGGGAGCGCAGGCGGGAAGACAAGUUGGAAGUGAAAUCUAUGGGCUCAACCCAUAAACUGCUUUCAAAACUGUUUUUCUUGGGUAGUGCAGAGGUAGGCGGAAUUCCCGGUGUAGCGGUGGAAUGCGUAGAUAUCGGGAGGAACACCAGUGGCGAAGGCGGCCUACUGGGCACCAACUGACGCUGAGGCUCGAAAGUGUGGGUAGCAAACAGGAUUAGAUACCCUGGUAGUCCACACCGUAAACGAUGAUUACUAGGUGUUGGAGGAUUGACCCCUUCAGUGCCGCAGUUAACACAAUAAGUAAUCCACCUGGGGAGUACGACCGCAAGGUUGAAACUCAAAGGAAUUGACGGGGGCCCGCACAAGCAGUGGAGUAUGUGGUUUAAUUCGACGCAACGCGAAGAACCUUACCAAGUCUUGACAUCCUGCGACGCACAUAGAAAUAUGUGUUUCCUUCGGGACGCAGAGACAGGUGGUGCAUGGUUGUCGUCAGCUCGUGUCGUGAGAUGUUGGGUUAAGUCCCGCAACGAGCGCAACCCUUACUGUCAGUUACUACGCAAGAGGACUCUGGCAGGACUGCCGUUGACAAAACGGAGGAAGGUGGGGAUGACGUCAAAUCAUCAUGCCCUUUAUGACUUGGGCUACACACGUACUACAAUGGCGUUAAACAAAGAGAAGCAAGACCGCGAGGUGGAGCAAAACUCAGAAACAACGUCCCAGUUCGGACUGCAGGCUGCAACUCGCCUGCACGAAGUCGGAAUUGCUAGUAAUCGUGGAUCAGCAUGCCACGGUGAAUACGUUCCCGGGCCUUGUACACACCGCC